AGUGAACGCUGGCGGCAUGCCUAACACAUGCAAGUCGAACGGCAGCACAGCAGUAGCAAUACUGUGGGUGGCGAGUGGCGGACGGGUGAGGAAUACAUCGGAAUUUGCCCUGUCGUGGGGGAUAACGUAGGGAAACUUACGCUAAUACCGCAUACGACCUAACGGUGAAAGCGGGGGAUCGCAAGACCUCGCGCGGCUGGAGAAGCCGAUGUCAGAUUAGCUAGUUGGCGGGGUAAAGGCCCACCAAGGCGACGAUCUGUAGCUGGUCUGAGAGGAUGAUCAGCCACACUGGGACUGAGACACGGCCCAGACUCCUACGGGAGGCAGCAGUGGGGAAUAUUGGACAAUGGGCGCAAGCCUGAUCCAGCAAUGCCGCGUGUGUGAAGAAGGCCUCGGUUGUAAG
RNAcentral lists this ribosomal RNA (403 nucleotides) under uncultured bacterium. Its description in RNAcentral is "bacterial SSU rRNA". It matches the Rfam family "Bacterial small subunit ribosomal RNA", at positions 29 to 429 of the family's 1533-position model. The record is from RNAcentral.